UGAGAUGUCCUGCCACACCCCUCGUGU
This 27-nucleotide non-coding RNA is filed under the name Rattus norvegicus (Norway rat). The record is from RNAcentral. Lineage: Eukaryota; Metazoa; Chordata; Mammalia; Rodentia; Muridae.